RNAcentral lists this non-coding RNA (26 nucleotides) under Macaca fascicularis (crab-eating macaque). The record is from RNAcentral. Lineage: Eukaryota; Metazoa; Chordata; Mammalia; Primates; Cercopithecidae. RNAcentral also lists the same sequence under 1 other name.
UGGCUGACAUGUGUUGUUGAGUUGGA